Molecule: ribosomal RNA, 433 nt
Filed under: uncultured bacterium
Lineage: Bacteria
Description: partial 16S ribosomal RNA
Rfam family: Bacterial small subunit ribosomal RNA
Source: RNAcentral
AACGAACGCUGGCGGCAUGCCUAACACAUGCAAGUCGAACGAGACCUUCGGGUCUAGUGGCGCACGGGUGCGUAACGCGUGGGAACCUGCCCUUAGGUUCGGAAUAACUCCCCGAAAGGGGUGCUAAUACCGGAUAAUGUCUUCGGACCAAAGAUUUCUCGCCUUUGGAUGGGCCCGCGUUGGAUUAGCCAGUUGGUAGGGUAAAAGCCUACCAAGGCGACGAUCCAUAGCUGGUCUGAGAGGAUGAUCAGCCACACUGGGACUGAGACACGGCCCAGACUCCUACGGGAGGCAGCAGUGGGGAAUAUUGGACAAGGGGCGAAAGCCUGAUCCAGCAAUGCCGGGUGAGUGAUGAAGGCCUUAGGGUUGUAAAGCUCUUUUACCCGAGAUGAUAAUGACAGUACCGGGAGAAUAAGCUCCGGCUAACUCCGUG